Molecule: long non-coding RNA, 341 nt
Filed under: Mytilus galloprovincialis (Mediterranean mussel)
Lineage: Eukaryota; Metazoa; Mollusca; Bivalvia; Mytilida; Mytilidae
Source: RNAcentral
UUUUUUUUAAUAUCAUAAAAGCUUUUAAAAAAAGAGGUCAUGCAUCAAGAGAGACAACUCCAUGUGCUUUUUCUUGGAUGUAGAUUUUUUGCAUAAACUAAUUGUUUAAAGGAAAACAGUCAUUGUCAAUGUUACAAUGAUAGAAGAGCAUUUCAUAUUAUCACGUCAAACAAUAUGUAAUUGUUCAAAGUGUCUGAAUAGAAUUUUAAUAUGUUACAAAGAGUGUAUCAGUGUGUAUCAUUCGAUAUUUUUAAUAUAACACAAUAAAAAAAUUUAAGGGACCCAUGCAAAAUUUUUGACACUGCAUCUUUUGACAACAUCUAAGUCUUGAUCAACAUUUU